Molecule: ribosomal RNA, 482 nt
Filed under: uncultured bacterium
Lineage: Bacteria
Description: partial 16S ribosomal RNA
Rfam family: Bacterial small subunit ribosomal RNA
Source: RNAcentral
GACGAACGCUGGCGGCGUGCUUAACACAUGCAAGUCGAACGAUGAAGAAGAGAAACGCGAACUUCGGUUCAAAUUUCAGUUCGGAGUAGUGGCAGACGGGUGAGUAACGCGUGAGCAACCUACCUCUUACCAAGGGAUAGCCUCGGGAAACCGUGAUUAAUACCAUAUGACACAUUCAUAAGGCAUCUUAAGAAUGUUAAAGCUACGGCGGUAAGAGAUGGGAUCGCGUCCCAUUAGCUAGUUGGUGCGGUAACGGCCCACCAAGGCGACGAUGGGUAACCGGACUGAGAGGGGGAACGGUAACAUUGGAACUGAGCCACGGUCCAACAUCAUACGGGAGGCAGCAGUGGGGAAUAUUGCACAGUGGAGGGAACUGUGAUGCAGCGACGCCGCGUGAGCGAUGAAGGAAUUCGUUACGUAAAGCUCUGUUGUAUGGGAAGAAAAGGACCGUACCAGAGGAGAAAGCCCCGGCUAAAUACGUG